Molecule: ribosomal RNA, 463 nt
Filed under: uncultured bacterium
Lineage: Bacteria
Description: partial 16S ribosomal RNA
Rfam family: Bacterial small subunit ribosomal RNA
Source: RNAcentral
GAUGAACGCUGACAGAAUGCUUAACACAUGCAAGUCUUUGGCGAAUCUGUGCUUGCACAGGCUAGCCAAGGCGGACGGGUGAGUAACGCGUAAAGAACUUGCCCUGCAGACAGGGUUAACAGACGGAAACGACUGAUAACACCUGAUACAGUUGCCGGCACGCAUGUGCCUGGCAAUGAAAAGAGAUGCUGCAGGAGAGCUUUGCGUCCUAUUAGCUUGUUGGUGAGGUGACGGCUCACCAAGGCGAUGAUAGGUAGCCGGCCUGAGAGGGUGAACGGCCACAAGGGGACUGAGAUACGGCCCUUACUCCUACGGGAGGCAGCAGUGGGGAAUAUUGGACAAUGGGGGCAACCCUGAUCCAGCAAUUCUGUGUGCACGAAGAAGGUUUUCGGAUUGUAAAGUGCUUUCAGCAGGGAAGAAGAAAGUGACGGUACCUGCAGAAGAAGCGACGGCUAAAUACGUG